Non-coding RNA from Xyrichtys novacula (pearly razorfish), 15456 nucleotides. The record is from the annotation of a GenBank genome assembly. Lineage: Eukaryota; Metazoa; Chordata; Actinopteri; Labriformes; Labridae.
UGAAUGGUUUCUGUAGGUCAAAGGUCAUGUGAGGAGAUAGGGGCUGAAGUUUUUUCCAACGCUCUAGGAAAGCGUUUUAAGUGUCAUCCCAAUUGCUAUGUGUACUGAGCCUGGCUUCAUGUGUCUCAUAUGGCCACUAGAAGCAGCUUUCCAGUCAGCUGUGUGUCUCCAGGUGCACAAAUUGGUUGCCAUGGGGACCUUGGAUGCAUAACUAUAGCAGGAGAAAGAAGGCUUGAAGCUAAAGAAACAGGACUCCAAGUAGGCCCUGACGCUCACCCUCUGUAUAUAUUCAUAAGGAGCUUGUGAGAACACAAGACUCUGCUGAACACAUUAAUACAAUUUAUUAUCACAAUCCUCAGAACACCCCAUAAUAUCUUCAAUGAGCUGAAUUUUUGAAGCCCAGAAUGGUUUCUGUAGCUCAAAGUUUGUGGGUGGAGAUAGGUGGUGAAGCAGACACAUAUUAACUGUGUGUACAAGCAGCUGAACUGCAAGGUGGACCUCAAAAAGCAACAAGUACAAGAAUGUGUGUGCGUGUGUGUGUGUGUGUGUCGUUAAUGACUGCAUCCUAAACAGCUGUGAGAUCAAAGGCAAAUCACUAACCAACUGUUUGACUGAGAGGUGCUGAACUGCAGUGAAUUUCAGCCUGUGAACUUCUUCACAUAGCGUGAUUUCCUUAAGUCCCAGAAUGAAAAUAAGAACAUCGUACGAAUCCUCCGUCCUUCAUGAACACAAUGAUGUGUUUUUCAUGUCUGUACUUCGAAAAAUGAGGCCACAACAGCGAGUUAAAAAAGUCUGAGCCUGAGCGAUGAUCCGGAUUUUCCUGGAGAAAAAUAACAUUAUGGUCAAUGGGAGAGAUUUCCGCCUUUUUUGGACAGUUGGUCACCUGCUGGCCAAGGGGUAGGAUUUAAUGAUUUGAAACCUCUUUUGUGAGAAGCAGGACACAUAUACCUCCAUUUUGAUGUAUUAUUUGUGUCAGUGGAGUGAGAUUUGUGGGCGUGGGAGCGAUAUAUUCGAGCGAGGUUCUGUCGAUCAGAGACGAGGUCUGCACUCUAGCUGAUGACAUCAUCACUCUAAACUCUCCAAUACACACCCAUUAUAAAGCUUGAAAUUUGCUGAAAACCACAAGUUGCUUAAAGCUAAAUUGUGGAAAAACUGUAAAAGAUAUCAAAAAACUGAGUACAACUUUAAUAGUCGACAAGUGAAUGAACAUUUUAAAGCAAAAAUUAGGUCUCUAGGUGAAAGUAUGCUGAAGUUAAAAGGUCUAGAAGGUGGAAGAGGAAAAGGUAGAUUUUAAGAUUUCCCCAUUCAUUUUUAAUGGUACAAAUUUUGCACAAAAAGUUAAAAAAAACAAAAAGUAUAAAGGGUAGAAAGGAAAAAAAUAGACGCCAUAAUGUCCUGAAUGAGUGGAAUAGUUUAAAGUUUGAACGGUUGAAAUCGGACAAAGUUUGAAGGAGGAGAAGCGGUCCAAAAAUCGGCGGAAGAAUAAUAAUAAGUUUAAUAAAGAAACAGGAGAAUAACAAUAAGUGGAAAUGCUUAAUCAGCAUUUCCACUUAAUAAAGAAACGGGAGAAUAACAAUAAGUGGAAAUGCUUAAUCAGCAUUUCCACUUAACUAGAAAAAUUGCAUUUCCUUGCAGAAAAUGCGUGGAAAUGCUGAGUGCUGAAAGCUGAAAAAGCAAUGCUAAACUGCUAAUAAAACAAGGAGAAAGGUAUAAAUGUUAAGGCUGUUGAAGGAGUGAAAAAGAAAUAUAGGUUGGACAAUUGUUUAAUUGGUUGAAGGACAAAUAGUAUGAAUAUGCUCUAUAAAAGGAAAUUUUAUUCAUGCUGAAAGAGGCUAGAAAAAUGUCUAAAAUUGCACAAAGUUUGAAUGAAAAAGGAAAUUGCCUUAAAAGGCAGGAAGGUGAGAAGUGGAAUAAGUUUAAGUUUUUAUGUAUUAGAAAGGUUUGAAUCAGUUUGAAUCAGUUUAAAUUAGUUAGAAAAAUUAAAUGAUAAAUCAUCACCGAGUGACUUAUAAAAGUGAAAAAUUUAAAUGAAUAUAAAUCUGAAUACACUCCAUAGUGUCCUCAAUGAGCUUAAAUUUUAAAGUCCUGAAUGGUUUCUGUAGGUCAAAGGUCAUGUGAGGACAUAGGGGCUGACGUUUUUUCAAACGCUCUAGGAAAGGGUUUUAAGUGUCAUCCCCAGUGCUAUGUGUACUGAGCUUGGCUUCAUGUGUCUCAUAUGGCCAUUAGAAGCAGCUUUCCAGUCAGCUGUGUGUCUCCAGGUGCACUAAUUGGUUGCCAUGGGGAUGAUAGAUGCAUCAGUACAGCAGGAGAAAGGAGGCUUGAAGCUAAGAAACAAAUGCUCUAACGCACUCACAUAGUUACUGUGUACAUGCAGUUGUCAUAGGCAGAGACACACGCACACACAUUGUCAGACUGUGUGUGAGUGUGUCUCGUUAAUGAUGGCCUACUCUUUGAAUGAGAAGCAGCUGAACUGCAGUGAAUUUACGGCCUCUGAACUUCUUCACAUAGCGUGAUUUCCUUAAAUCCCAGAAUCAAAAUAAGAACAUUGUACGAAUCCUCCGCCCUUCAUGAACACAAUGAUGUGUUUUUCAUGUCUGUACUCCAAAAAAUGUGGCCACAACAGCGAGUUAAAAAAGUCUGAGCCUGAGUGACGAUCAGGAUUUUAUUGGAGAAAAAUUACAUUAGGGCUAAUGGGAGAGAUCUCCGCCUAUUUGGACAGUUGGUCACCUGCUGGCCAAGGGGUAUGAUUUAAUGAUUUGAAACCUCUUUUGUGAGAAGCAGGACACAUAUACCUCCAUUUUGAUGUAUUUUUUAUGGCUGUGGAGUGAAAUUUGUGGGCGUGGGAGCGAUAUAUUCGAGUGAGGUUCUGUCGAUCAGAGACGAGGUCUGCACUCUAGCUGAUGACAUCAUCACUCUAAACUCUCCAAUACACACCCAUUAUAAAGCCUGAAAAUUUGCUGAAAACCAUGAGGUGCAUAAAGCUAAAUUGUGGAAAAACUGUAGGAGAUAGCACAAAAAAGUCAAUACAGCAUAUUUAGAGGAGAAGAUUGUGAACAUUUUAAAGCAAAAAUGAGGUCUGUAGGUGAAAGUAUGCUGAAGUUAUAAGGCUGAGAAGGUGAAGGAGUAAAAGGUAGAAUUUGAAGAUUUCCCCAUUCAUUUCAAUGGGAAAAAUUUUGCACAAAAAGUCAAAAAUAUCAAAAAGUAUAAGGGGUAGAAAAGUAAAAAAUAGACCCCUUAAUGUCCUGAAGGAGUGGAAUAGUUUAAAGUUUGAACGGUUGAAAUCGGACAAAGUUUGAAGGAGGAGAAGCGUUGCAAAAAAGGGACGGAAGAAUAAUAAUAAUAAUAAUAAUAACUAGAAAAAUUGCAUUUCCUUGCAGAAAAUGCGUGGAAAUGCUGAGUGCUGAAAGCUGAAAAAGCAAUGCUAAACUGCUAAUAAAACAUGGAGAAAGGUAUAAAUGUUAAGGCUGUUGAAGGAGUGAAAAAGAAAUAUAGGUUGGACAAUUGUUUAAUUGGUUGAAGGACAAAUAGUAUGAAUAUGCUCUAUAAAAGGAAAUUUUAUUCAUGCUGAAAGAGGCUAGAAAAAUGUCUAAAAUUGCACAAAGUUUGAAUGAAAAAGGAAAUUGCCUUAAAAGGCAGGAAGGUGAGAAGUGGAAUAAGUUUAAGUUUUUAUGUAUUAGAAAGGUUUGAAUCAGUUUGAAUCAGUUUAAAUUAGUUAGAAAAAUUAAAUGAUAAAUCAUCACCGAGUGACUUAUAAAAGUGAAAAAUUUAAAUGAAUAUAAAUCUGAAUACACUCCAUAGUGUCCUCAAUGAGCUUAAAUUUUAAAGUCCUGAAUGGUUUCUGUAGGUCAAAGGUCAUGUGAGGACAUAGGGGCUGACGUUUUUCAAACGCUCUAGGAAAGGGUUUUAAGUGUCAUCCCCAGUGCUAUGUGUACUGAGCUUGGCUUCAUGUGUCUCAUAUGGCCAUUAGAAGCAGCUUUCCAGUCAGCUGUGUGUCUCCAGGUGCACUAAUUGGUUGCCAUGGGGAUGAUAGAUGCAUCAGUACAGCAGGAGAAAGGAGGCUUGAAGCUAAGAAACAAAUGCUCUAACGCACUCACAUAGUUACUGUGUACAUGCAGUUGUCAUAGGCAGAGACACACGCACACACAUUGUCAGACUGUGUGUGAGUGUGUCUCGUUAAUGAUGGCCUACUCUUUGAAUGAGAAGCAGCUGAACUGCAGUGAAUUUACGGCCUCUGAACUUCUUCACAUAGCGUGAUUUCCUUAAAUCCCAGAAUCAAAAUAAGAAUAUUGUACGAAUCCUCCGCCCUUCAUGAACACAAUGAUGUGUUUUUCAUGUCUGUACUCCAAAAAAUGUGGCCACAACAGCGUUAAAAAAGUCUGAGCCUGAGUGACGAUCAGGAUUUUAUUGGAGAAAAAUUACAUUAGGGCUAAUGGGAGAGAUCUCCGCCUAUUUGGACAGUUGGUCACCUGCUGGCCAAGGGGUAUGAUUUAAUGAUUUGAAACCUCUUUUGUGAGAAGCAGGACACAUAUACCUCCAUUUUGAUGUAUUUUUUAUGGCUGUGGAGUGAAAUUUGUGGGCGUGGGAGCGAUAUAUUCGAGUGAGGUUCUGUCGAUCAGAGACGAGGUCUGCACUCUAGCUGAUGACAUCAUCACUCUAAACUCUCCAAUACACACCCAUUAUAAAGCCUGAAAAUUUGCUGAAAACCAUGAGGUGCAUAAAGCUAAAUUGUGGAAAAACUGUAGGAGAUAGCACAAAAAAGUCAAUACAGCAUAUUUAGAGGAGAAGAUUGUGAACAUUUUAAAGCAAAAAUGAGGUCUGUAGGUGAAAGUAUGCUGAAGUUAUAAGGCUGAGAAGGUGAAGGAGUAAAAGGUAGAAUUUGAAGAUUUCCCCAUUCAUUUCAAUGGGAAAAAUUUUGCACAAAAAGUCAAAAAUAUCAAAAAGUAUAAGGGGUAGAAAAGUAAAAAAUAGACCCCUUAAUGUCCUGAAGGAGUGGAAUAGUUUAAAGUUUGAACGGUUGAAAUCGGACAAAGUUUGAAGGAGGAGAAGCGUUGCAAAAAAGGGACGGAAGAAUAAUAAUAAUAAUAAUAAUAAUAACUAGAAAAUUGCAUUUCCUUGCAGAAAAUGCGUGGAAAUGCUGAAUGCUGAAAGCUGAAAAAGCAAUGCAAAACUGCCAUUAAGAAAUGGAGGGAGGUAUGAACGGAAAAACUGUUGAAAAGGUGGAGUAGAAGAAGAAAUUGUAUGAAUGGAAGCAUUGUAGUAUAGCUGAAGGUUAAUUAGUUGGAUUAAUGUACAAAUUGUCUGAUAGCCUAAGUGAAAAACGUAUAUGAUUGAUGUGAAUAAACAGAACUGAUAAUAAGGAUAAUUGAAUUUGAAAAACAAAUGUCUUAAAAUAAUGUGUAACAAUGUUCCUAUUAAAUGUACAAAUAGUAAAACAGAUUUUUGCAGUCUGCAGCAUCAAACCAUAGUAACUUGAGAAUGCAGAACAGCGCCAUCUAUUGCCUUGCUUCAGUUACUGCCCUACAUCUGAAUGUAGAAAGUAUGAAACAGCUGAAGUUAAAUUAUCUGUAUAAAUGUAGAAAGUACUGAGAAGAAAAGCAGAAGUAGAAGAAAAAGAAGAAGUUAGUAUGUUAAAAGAUGUAAAGACAAAGGCUGUAACAACAAAGUUAAUAUUGGGGGUGUAUUUUCUACUGACAGAGAGACAGUAAUGCACACAUGGAAACAGUGUGUGUGUGUGUGUGUGUGUGUGUGUGUGUGUGUGUGUGUGUGUGCCCGCGCGGGGUCGGCCGCGCGCGUGCGUGUGUGAUCGAAGCACACAGCCCAUGACAAGUGCAGAAUCUCUGGCUCCUAAGGAAUUUACUCACCUUCUGGGCAAACUGUACAAUUUCAUGACUUCAGACCUAUUUUGUGAGAAGCAGGACGAGUGUACCUCCAUUUUGAUGUGUUUUUUAUGGCUGUGGAGUGAGAAUUGCGGCCGCGGCAGCAAAAUAAACACGCUUGGUCUAGUGAAUCCAAAAGGCUCCGCACGCAUCUAGUGAUGACGUCACACGCUGUAGCGUGAGUCAGGCUGAAAAAGGCAGAAAACUUCAUGUUGCUCCAAGCGAAAUUGUGCAAAAACGGUAGGAAAUAGCAAAAGGGAGUGAAUACAACAUUUGUAGCAGACACGUUGCUGAACAUUUUAAAGCAAAAAUGAGGUCUGUAGGUGAAAGUAUGCAGAAGUUAUAAGGGUGAGAAGGUGUUAUAGCUGUAUCUCCAUUCAUUUCUAAUGGAACAAAUUUUGCAGAAAAAGUGAAAUAUUGCAAAAAGUAUAAAUGGUAGAAAGGUGAAAAGUACUAGCAAUAAUGUCCUGAAGGAGUGCAUUAGUAUAAAGUUUGAAUGGUUGAAAUAGCACAAAGUGGUAAGGAGUUGAAAAGGGCCAAAAAAGGUACGGAAGAAUAAUAAUAAAAAUAAUAAUAAUAACUAGAAAAAUUGCAUUUCCUUGCAGAAAAUGCGUGGAAAUGCUGAGUGCUGAAAGCUGAAAAAGCAAUGCAAAACUGCCAAUAAAAAAUGGAGGAAGGUAUAAACGGAAAAACUGUAGAAAAGGUGGAGUAGAAGAAGAAGAAAUUGUAUGAAUGGAAGAAUUGUAGUAUAGCUGGAGGUAAAUUAGUUGGAUUAAUGUACAAAUUGUCUGAUAGCCUAAGUGAAAAAUGUAUAUGAUUGAUGUGAAUAAACAGAACUGACAUGGAUAAUUGAAUUUGAAAAACAAAUGCCUUUAAACAAUGUGUAACAAUGUUCCUAUUAAAUGUACAAAUAGUAAAACAGAUUUUUGCAGUCUGCAGCAUCCAACCAUAGUAACUUGAGAAUGCAGAACAGCACCAUCUAUUGCCCUGCUUCAGUUACUGCCCUACAUCUGAAUGCAGAAAGUAUGAAACAGCUGAAGUUAAAUUAAUUGUAUGAAUGUAGAAAGUAUAGAAAAGAAAAGCAGAAGUAGAAGAAAAAGAAGAAGUUAGUAUGUUAAAAGAGUUAAAGACAAGAACUGUAACAACAAAGUUCAUAUUGGGGCUGUAUUUUCUACUGACAGAGAGACAGUAUUGCACACAUGGAAACAGUGUGUGUGUGUGUGUGUGUGUGUGUGUGUGUGUGUGUGUGUGUGUGUGCCCGCGCGCGCGCGCGGCCGAGCCCGUGCGUGUGCAUAUGCGUGUGUGAUCGAAGCACACAGCCCAUGACAAGUGCAGAAUCUGACAGAGACAGUAAGAGAGAAAGAGAGACAGUACUGCACUCAUGGAAACAGUGUGUGUGUAUGUGUGUGUGCCCGCGCGCGCACGAGCGGCCAAGUCCGUGCGUGUGCGAUCGAAGCACACAGCCCAUGACAAGUGCAGAAUCUGACAGAGAGAUAGUAAGAGAGACAAUAAUGCACUCAUGGAAACAGUGUGUGUGUGUGUGUGUGUGUGUGUGUGUGUGUGUGUGUGUGUGUGUGUGUGUGUGUGUGUGUGUGCCCGCGCGCGCACGAGCGGCCGAGUCCGUGCGUGUGCAUGUGCGUGUGCGAUCGAAGCACACAGCCCAUGACAAGUGCAGAAUCUCUGGCUCUGAAGGAAUGUACUCACCUCCUGGGCAAGCUGUACAAUUUCAUGACUUCAGACCGAUUUUGUGAGAAGCAGGACGAGUGUACCUCCAUUUUGAUGUGUUUUUUAUGGCUGUGGAGUGAAAAUUGCGGCCGCAGCAGCAAAAUAAUCAUGCUUGGUCUAGUGAAUCCAAAAGGCCCCGCCCGCAUCUAGUGAUGACGUAACACGCUGUAGCGUGAGUCAGGCUGAAAGAGGGAGAAAACUUCAUGUUGCUCCAAGCGAAAUUGUGCAAAAACGGUAGGAAAUAGCAAAAAGGAGUGAAUACAACAUUUGUAGCAGACACGUUGCUGAACAUUUUAAAGCAAAAAUGAGGUCUGUAGGUGAAAGUAUGCAGAAGUUAUAAGGGUGAGAAGGUGUUAUAGCUGUAUCUCCAUUCAUUUGUAAUGGAACAAAUUUUGCAGAAAAAGUGAAAUAUUGCAAAAAGUAUAAAUGGUAGAAAGGUGAAAAGUAAUAGCCGUAAUGUCCUGAAGGAGUGCAUUAGUAUAAAGUUUGAAUGGUGAAAAUAGCACAAAGUGGUGAGGAGUUGAAAAGGGCCAAAAAAGGUACGGAAGAAUAAUAAUAACUAGAAAAAUUGCAUUUCCUUGCAGAAAAUGCGUGGAAAUGCUGAGUGCUGAAAGCUGAAAAAGCAAUGCUAAACUGCUAAUAAAACAUGGAGAAAGGUAUAAAUGUUAAAGCUGUUGAAGGGGUGAAAAAGAAAUAUAAGUUGGAUAAUUGUUUAAUUGGUUGAAGGACAAAUAGUAUGAAUAUGCUCUAUAAAAGGAAAUUUUAUUCAUGCUGAAAGAGGCUAGAAAAAUGUCUCAAAUUGCACAAAGUUUGAAUGAAGAAGGAAAUUGCCUUAAAAGGCAGGAAGGUGAGAGGUGGCAUAAGUUUAAGUUGUAGUACUAGAAGUAGUAUGAUAAGAGGUCAAGUCGUGAUACUAGUAGUCAUGUCAGCAGUAGAAGUAGUUUGAGAAUAAAAGAAGUAUAAGUCAAAGUAGAGAAAGUAGAAAUAGGAGCAAUAGCAGUUGAAGUAGAGGGGAAAGUACUAGUUUAAUUGACAUUAGCAGUAGUUCUAGUACUUGAGGUAUGAUUUUGUUUGAAGGAUGGAAUAAUGCAUAAAUAUUAAAACUAAUUUAAAACAGGGAAAUUUUAAAUUAUCAAAAGUCCUCAAGUAUCAGAAAGUUUUGAAGUAUUAGAAAGGUUUGAAUCAGUUUGAAUGAGUUUAAAUUAGUUUGAAAAAUUAAAUGAUAAAUCAUCACUGACUGACUUUUAAAAUGUGAAAAAUUUAAAUGAAUAACAAUCCUAAAUACACCCAAUAAUGUCCUCAAUGAGCUUAAAUUUCAAAGCCCUGAAUGGUUUCUGUAGGUCAAAGGUCAUGUGAGGAGAUUGGGGCUGAAGUUUUUUCCAACGCUCUAGGAAAGGGUUUUAAGUGUCAUCCCAAUUGCUAUGUGUACUGAGCCUGGCUUCAUGUGUCUCAUAUGGCCACUAGAAGCAGCUUUCCAGUCAGCUGUGUGUCUCCAGGUGCACUAAUUGGUUGCCAUGGGGACCUUGGAUGCAUAACUAUAGCAGGAGAAAGAAGGCCUUGAAGCUAAAGAAACAGGACUCCAAGUAGGCCCUGACGCUCACCCUCUGUAUUAAUGUGUUCAGCAGAGUCUUGUGUUCUCACAAGCUCCUUAUGAAUAUAUACAAUUUAUUAUCACAAUCCUCAAAACACCCCAUAAUAUCUUCAAUGAGCUGAAUUUUUCAAGCCCAGAAUGGUUUCUGUAGCUCAAAGUUUGUGGGUGGAGAUAGGUGGUGAAGCAGACACAUAUUAACUGUGUGUACAAGCAGCUGAACUGCAAGGUGGACCUCAAAAAGCAACAAGUACAAGAAUGUGUGUGCGUGUGUGUGUGUGUCUCGUUAAUGACUGCAUCCUAAACAGCUGUGAGAUCAAAGGCAAAUCACUAACCUACUGUUUGACUGAGAGGUGCUGAACUGCAGUGAAUUUCAGCCUGUGAACUUCUUCACAUAGCGUGAUUUCCUUAAGUCCCAGAAUGAAAAUAAGAACAUCGUACGAAUCCUCCGUCCUUCAUGAACACAAUGAUGUGUUUUUCAUGUCUGUACUUCGAAAAAUGUGGCCACAACAGCGAGUUAAAAAAGUCUGAGCCUGAGUGGGGAUAAGGAUUUUCUUGGAGAAGAAAUACAUUAGGUCUAAUGGGGAGAGAUUUCCACCUAUUUGGACAGUUGGUCACCUGCUGGCCAAGGGGUAGGAUUUAAUGAUUUGAAACCUCUUUUGUGAGAAGCAGGACACAUAUACCUCCAUUUUGAUGUAUUAUUUGUGUCAGUGGAGUGAGAUUUGUGGGCGUGGGAGCGAUAUAUUCGAGCGAGGUUCUGUCGAUCAGAGACGAGGUCUGCACUCUAGCUGAUGACAUCAUCACUCUAAACUCUCCAAUACACACCCAUUAUAAAGCUUGAAAUUUGCUGAAAACCACAAGUUGCUUAAAGCUAAAUUGUGGAAAAACUGUAAGAGAUAUCAAAAAACUGAGUACAACUGUAAUAGUCGACAAGUGAAUGAACAUUUUAAAGCAAAAAUGAGGUCUCUAGGUGAAAGUAUGCUGAAGUUAUAAGGUCUAGAAGGUGGAAGAAUAAAAGGAAGGAGUGGAAGAUUUCCCCAUUGACUUCAAUGUUAAAAUUUUUGCACAAAAAGUUAAAAAAAACAAAAAGUAUAAAAGGUAGAAAGGUAAAAAAUACAAGCACACAUGUCCUGAAGGAGUGGAAUAGUUAAAAGUUUGAACGGUUGAAAUCGGACAAAGUUUGAAGGAGGAGAAGCGGUCCAAAGAAACGUAUGGGGAGAGUGUUAAGUAUAAUACUAGAAAAAUUGCAUUUCCUUGCAGAAAAUGCGUGGAAAUGCUGAGUGCUGAAAGCUGAAAAAGCAAUGCUAAACUGCUAAUAAAACAUAGAGAAAUGUAUAAAUGUUAAAGCUGUUGAAGGGGUGUAAAAGAAAUGUAAGUUGGAUAAUUGAUUAAUUGGUUGAAGGACAAAUAGUAUGAAUAUGCUCUAUAAAAUGAAAUUUUAUUCAUGCUGAAAGAGGCUAGAAAAAUGUCUAAAAUUGCACAAAGUUUGAAUGAAGAAGGAAAUUGCCUUAAAAGGCAGGAAGGUGAGAAGUGGCAUAAGUUUAAUUUUUUAUGUAUUAGAAAGGUUUGAAUCAGUUUGAAUCAGUUCAAAUUAGUUUGAAAAAUUAAAUGAUAAAUCAUCACUGAGUGACUUUAAAAUGUGAAAAAUUUAAAUGAAUAUAAAUCCUGAAUACACCCCAUAAUGUCCUCAUUGAGCUUAAAUUUUAAAGCCCUGAAUGGUUUCUGUAGGUCAAAGGUCAUGUGAGGAGAUAGGGGCUGAAGUUUUUUCAAGCGCUCUAGGAAAGGGUUUUAAGUGUCAUCCCCAGUGCUAUGUGUACUGAGCCUGGCUUCAUGUGUCUCAUAUGGCCAUUAGAAGCAGCUUUCCAGUCAGCUGUGUGUCUCCAGGUGCACAAGUUGGUUGCCAUGGGGACCUUGGAUGCAUAACUAUAGCAGGAGAAAGAAGGCUUGAAGCUAAGGAAACAGGACUCCAAGUAGGCCCUGACGCUCAUCCUCUGUAUCUAUUCCUGAUAAGGAGCUUGUGAGAACACAAGACUCUGCUGAACACAUUAAUACAAUUUAUUAUCACAAUCCUCAAAACACCCCAUAAUAUCUUCAAUGAGCUGAAUUUUUGAAGCCCAGAAUGGUUUCUGUAGCUCAAAGUUUGUGGGUGGAGAUAGGUGGUGAAGCAGACACAUAUUAACUGUGUGUACAAGCAGCUGAACUGCAAGGUGGACCUCAAAAAGCAACAAGUACAAGAAUGUGUGUGUGUGUGUGUGUGUGUGUGUCUCGUUAAUGACUGCAUCCUAAACAGCUGUGAGAUCAAAGGCAAAUCACUAACCUACUGUUUGACUGAGAGGUGCUGAACUGCAGUGAAUUUCAGCCUGUGAACUUCUUCACAUAGCGUGAUUUCCUUAAGUCCCAGAAUGAAAAUAAGAACAUCGUACGAAUCCUCCGUCCUUCAUGAACACAAUGAUGUCUUUUUCAUGUCUGUACUUCGAAAAAUGUGGCCACAACAGCGAGUUAAAAAAGUCUGAGCCUGAGUGGGGAUAAGGAUUUUCUUGGAGAAGAAAUACAUUAGGUCUAAUGGGGAGAGAUUUCCGCCUAUUUGGACAGUUGGUCACCUGCUGGCCAAGGGGUAGGAUUUAAUGAUUUGAAACCUCUUUUGUGAGAAGCAGGACACAUAUACCUCCAUUUUUAUGUAUUUUUUAUGGCUGUGGAGUGAGAUUUGUGGGCGUGGGAGCGAUAUAUUUGAGCGAGGUUCUGUCGAUCAGAGACGAGGUCUGCACUCUAGCUUUUCAAAUCAUCACUCUAGCCUCUCCAAUACACCCCUAUUAUAAAGCCUGAAAUUUGCUGAAAACCACAAGUUGCAUAAAGCUAAAUUGUGGAAAAACUGUAAAAGAUAGCACAAAGAGGUUAAUACAACAUCAAUAGUCGACAAGACAAUGAACAUUUUAAAGCAAAAAUGAGGUCUCUAGGUGAAAGUAUGCUGAAGUUAUAAGGUCUAGAAGGUGGACGAAUAACAGGAAGAAUUGAAAGAUUUCCCCAUUCAUUUCUAUGGGAAAAAAAGUUUGGCACAAAAAGUGAAAAAUAAUAAAAAGUAUAAAGGGUAGAAAAAAGAAAAGUAAUAGCCAUCAUGUCCUGAAGGAGUGGAAUCGUUUAAAGUUUGAACGGUUGAAAUCGGACAAAGUUUGAAGGAGGAGAAGCGGUCCAAAGAAACGUAUGGGGAGAGUGUUAAGUAUAAUACUAGAAAAAUUGCAUUUCCUUGCAGAAAAUGCGUGGAAAUGCUGAGUGCUGAAAGCUAACAAAGCAAUGCUAAACUGCUAAUAAAACAUGGAGAAAGGUAUAAAUGUUAAAGCUGUUGAAGGGGUGAACAGAAAUAUAAGUUGGAUAAUUGAUUAAUUGGUUGAAGGACAAAUACUAUGAAUAUGCUCUAUAAAAGGAAAUUUUAUUCAUGCUGAAAGAGGCUAGAAAAAUGUCUCAAAUUGCACAAAGUUUGAAUGAAGAAGGAAAUUGCCUUAAAAGGCAGGAAGGUGAGAAGUGGCAUAAGUUUAAAUUGUAGUACUAGAAGUAGCAUGAUAAGAAGUCAAGUCGUGAUACUAGUAGUCAUGUCAGCAGUAGAAGUAGAUUGAGAAUAAAAGAAGUAUAAGUCAAAGUAGUAAAGAAAGUAGAAAUAGGAGCAAUAGCAGUUGAAGUAGAGGGGAAAGUUCUAGUUUAAUUGACAUUAGGAGUAGUUGUCGUACUUGAGGUAGGAUUUUGUUUGAAUGAUGGAGUAAUGCAUAAAUAUUAAAACUAAUUUAAAACAGGGAAAUUUUAAAUUAUCAAAAGUCCUCAAGUAUCAGAAAGUUUUGAAGUAUUAGAAAGGUUUGAAUCAGUUUGAAUGAGUUUAAAUUAGUUUGAAAAAUUAAAUGAUAAAUCAUCACUGACUGACUUUUAAAAUGUGAAAAAUUUAAAUGAAUAACAAUCCUAAAUACACCCAAUAAUGUCCUCAAUGAGCUUAAAUUUCAAAGCCCUGAAUGGUUUCUGUAGGUCAAAGGUCAUGUGAGGAGAUAGGGGCUGAAGUUUUUUCCAACGCUCUAGGAAAGGGUUUUAAGUGUCAUCCCAAUUGCUAUGUGUACUGAGCCUGGCUUCAUGUGUCUCAUAUGGCCACUAGAAGCAGCUUUCCAGUCAGCUGUGUGUCUCCAGGUGCACAAAUUGGUUGCCAUGGGGACCUUGGAUGCAUAACUAUAGCAGGAGAAAGAAGGCUUGAAGCUAAGGAAACAGGACUCCAAGUAGGCCCUGACGCUCACCCUCUGUAUAUAUUCAUAAGGAGCUUGUGAGAACACAAGACUCUGCUGAACACAUUAAUACAAUUUAUUAUCACAAUCCUCAAAACACCCCAUAUUAUCUUCAAUGAGCUGAAUUUUUGAAGCCCAGAAUGGUUUCUGUAGCUCAAAGUUUGUGGGUGGAGAUAGGUGGUGAAGCAGACACAUAUUAACUGUGUGUACAAGCAGCUGAACUGCAAGGUGGACCUCAAAAAGCAACAAGUACAAGAAGGUGUGUGUGCGUGUGUGUGUGUGUGUGUCUCGUUAAUGACUGCAUCCUAAACAGCUGUGAGAUCAAAGGCAAAUCACUAACCUACUGUUUGACUGAGAGGUGCUGAACUGCAGUGAAUUUCAGCCUGUGAACUUCUUCACAUAGCGUGAUUUCCUUAAGUCCCAGAAUGAAUAUAAGAACAUCGUACGAAUCCUCCGCCCUUCAUGAACACAAUGAUGUGUUUUUCAUGUCUGUACUCCGAAAAAUGAGGCCACAACAGCGAGUUAAAAAAGUCUGAGCCUCAGUGGCGAUAAGGAUUUUCUUGGAGAAGAAAUACAUUAGGUCUAAUGGGGAGAGUUUUUCGCUAUUUGGACAGUUGGUCACCUGCUGGCCAAGGGGUAAGAUUUAAUGAUUUGAAACCUCUUUUGUGAGAAGCAGGACACAUAUACCUCCAUUUUGAUGUAUUUUUUAUGGGUGUGGAGUGAGAUUUGUGGGCAUGGGAGCGAAAUAUUCGAGCGAGGUUCUGUUGAUCAGAGAGGAGGUCUGCACUCUAGCUUUUCAAAUCAUCACUCUAGCCUCUCCAAUACACCCCUAUUAUAAAGCCUGAAAUUUGCUGAAAACCACAAGUUGCAUAAAGCUAAAUUGUGGAAAAACUCUAAAAGAUAUCACAAAAAGGUUAAUACAAUAUCAAUAGUCGACAAGACAAUGAACAUUUUAAAGCAAAAAUGAGGUCUGUAGGUGAAAGUAUGCUGAAGUUAUAAGGCUUAGAAGGUGGACGAAUAACAGGAAGAAUUGAAAGAUUUCCCCAUUCAUUUCUAUGGGAAAAAAAGUUUGGCACAAAAAGUGAAAAAUAAUAAAAAGUAUAAAGGGUAGAAAAGAGAAAAGUAAUAGCCAUCAUGUCCUGAUGGAGCGGAAUAGUUUAAAGUUUGAACGGUUGAAAUCGGACAAAGUUUGAAGGAGGAGAAGCGGUCCAAAGAAACAUAUGGGGAGAGUGUUAAGUAUAAUACUAGAAAAAUUGCAUUUCCUUGCAGAAAAUGCGUGGAAAUGCUGAGUGCUGAAAGCUGAAAAAGCAAUGCUAAACUGCUAAUAAAACAUGGAGAAAGGUAUAAAUGUUAAAGCUGUUGAAGGGAUGAGAAAGAAAUGUAAGUUGGAUAAUUGAUUAAUUGGUUGAAGGACAAAUAGUAUGAAUAUGCUCUAUAAAAAGAAAUUUUAUUCAUGCUGAAAGAGGCUAGAAAAAUGUCUAAAAUUGCACAAAGUUUGAAUGAAGAAGGAAAUUGCCUUAAAAGGCAGGAAGGUGGGAAGUGGCAUCAGUUUAAUUUUUUAAGUAUUAGAAAGGUUUGAAUCAGUUUGAAUCAGUUCAAAUUAGUUUGAAAAAUUAAAUGAUAAAUCAUCACUGAGUAACUUUUAAAUGUGAAAAAUCUAAAUGAAUAUAAAUCCUAAAUACACCCCAUAAUGUCCUCAAUGAGCUUAAAUUUUAAAGCCCUGAAUGGUUUCUGUAGGUCAAAGGUCAUGUGAGGAGAUAGGGGCUGAAGUUUUUUCAAGCGCUCUAGGAAAGGGUUUUAAGUGUCAUCCCCAGUGCUAUGUGUACUAAGCCUGGCUUCAUGUGUCUCAUAUGGCCAUUAGAAGCAGCUUUCCAGUCAGCUGUGUGUCUCCAGGUGCACAAAUUAGUUGCCAUGGGGACCUUGGAUGCAUAACUAUAGCAGGAGAAAGAAGGCUUGAAGCUAAGGAAACAGGGCUCCAAGUAGGCCCUGGCACUCAUCGUCUGUAUAUAUUCAU